This 599-nucleotide ribosomal RNA is filed under the name uncultured bacterium. RNAcentral describes it as "bacterial SSU rRNA". It matches the Rfam family "Bacterial small subunit ribosomal RNA", at positions 100 to 687 of the family's 1533-position model. The record is from RNAcentral.
GAACUGGUGAGUAACACGUAGGUGAUCUGCCCCGGGAUUGGGAAUAGCUCAUGGAAACAUGGGGUAAUACCGAAUACGUUCCGAUUUUCAUGGAAAUCGGAGGAAAGGCGCGUUUGCGUCGUCCUGGGAUGAGCCUGCGGCGUAUUAGCUUGUUGGUGAGGUAACUGCUCACCAAGGCGAUGAUACGUAGCCGGCCUGAGAGGGUGAUCGGCCACACUGGGACUGAGAUACGGCCCAGACUCCUACGGGAGGCAGCGGCUAAGAAUCUUCCGCAAUGGGCGAAAGCCUGACGGAGCGACGCCGCGUGGGUGAAGAAGGCCUGAUGGUUGUAAAACCCUUUUUGUGCUGAGGAAUAAAGUAGGGAGGAAAUGCCCUGCUGAUGACGUUAAGCGCAAAAUAAGCCCCGGCUAAUUACGUGCCAGCCGCCGCGGCAACACGUAUGGGGCGAGCGUUGUUCGGAUUUAUUGGGCGUAAAGGGCGCGUAGGUGGCUAUGCAAGCUUGGUGUGAAAGACUACAGCUCACCUGUGGAAUUGCGCUGAGAACUGCAUGACUAGAGUUCCGGAGGGGAAGCUGGAAUUCCGGGGUGUAGGGGUGAAAU